CCCCAAGCAUUACAUUAUUGCUGUUUACAGUUUAUCUACAUCUAUAAUAAUAUUCAAGAUAAUAACCAAAAACAGCAAAAUUUCCUUAAAAUUACCAAAUUCAGGGGCGGCAACCCAACAACGGGUUGUCCGAUUCAUCUAAAAAUUUCAGGGCAGAUAGAUCUUGACCUGAUAAACAAUUUUACUCCUGUCAGAUUUGCUCUAAAUGCUUUGGUUUUUGAGUUAUAAGCUAAAAACUGCAUUUCACCCCUAUGUUCUAUUUUUAGCCAUGGCGGCCAUCUUGGUUGGUUAGCCGGAUCACCGGACACAAUUUUUAAACUAGAUACCCUAAUAAUGAUUUUGGCCAUGUUUGAUUAAAUUUGGCCCAGUAGUUUCAGAGGAGAAGAUUUUUGUAAAAGAUAACUAAGAUUUACGGAAAAUGGUUAAAAAUUGACUAUAAAGGGCCAUAACUCCUAAAGGGGUCAACUGACCAUUUCGGUCAUGUUGACUUAUUUGUAAAUCUUACUUUGCUGAACAUUUUUGCUGUUUACAGUUUAUCUCUAUCUAUAAUAAUAUUCAUGAUAAUAACCAAAAACAGCAAAAUUUCCUUAAAAUAACCAAUUCAGAGGCAGCAACCUAACAAUCGGUUGUCUGAUUCAUCUGAAAAUUUCAGGGCAGAUAGAUCUUAACCUGAUAAACCAUUUAACCUCUGUCAGAUUUGCUCUAAAUGCUUUGGUUUUUGAGUUAUAAGCCAAAAACUGAUUUUACCCCUAUGUUCUAUUUUUAGCCAUGGUGGCCAUCUUGGUUGGUUGGCCGGGUCACCGGACACAAUUUUUAAACUAGAUACCCCAAUGAUGAUUGUUGCCAAGUUUGGUUCAAUUUGGCCCAGUAGUUUCAGAGGAGAAGAUUUUUGUAAAAGAUAACUAAGAUUUACGGAAAAUGGUUAAAAAUUGACUAUAAAGGGCCAUAACUCCUAAAGGGGUCAACUGACCAUUUGGUCAUGUUGACUUAUUUGUAAAUCUUACUUUGCUGAACAUUUUUGCUGUUACAGUUUAUCUCUAUCUAUAAUAAUAUUCAUGAUAAUAACCAAAAACAGCAAAAUUUCCUUAAAAUUACCAAUUCAGGGGCAGCAACCUAACAACGGGUUGUCCGAUUCAUCUGAAAAUUUCAGGGCAGAUAGAUCUUGACCUGAUAAACAAUUUUACCCCG
This 1188-nucleotide long non-coding RNA is filed under the name Mytilus galloprovincialis (Mediterranean mussel). Lineage: Eukaryota; Metazoa; Mollusca; Bivalvia; Mytilida; Mytilidae. The record is from RNAcentral.